This 406-nucleotide ribosomal RNA is filed under the name uncultured bacterium. RNAcentral describes it as "partial 16S ribosomal RNA". It matches the Rfam family "Bacterial small subunit ribosomal RNA", at positions 30 to 526 of the family's 1533-position model. The record is from RNAcentral.
AUUGAACGCUGGCGGCAGGCCUAACACAUGCAAGUCGAACGAGUGGCGGACGGGUGAGUAAUGUCUGGGAAACUGCCUGAUGGAGGGGGAUAACUACUGGAAACGGUAGCUAAUACCGCAUACCAUCGGAUGUGCCCAGAUGGGAUUAGCUAGUAGGUGGGGUAAAGGCUCACCUAGGCGACGAUCCCUAGCUGGUCUGAGAGGCUGACCAGCCACAAGGGAACUGAGACACGGGCCAGACUCCUACGGGAUGCAGCAGUGGGUAAGAUUGCACAAUGGGCGCAAGCCUGAUGCAGCCAUGCCGCGUGUAUGAAGAAGGCCGUCGGGUUGUAAAGUACUUUCAGCGGGGAGGCGUUACCCGCAGAAGAAGCACAGGCUAACUCCGUGCCAGCAGCCGCGGUAAUUC